GAUGAACGCUGGCGGCGUGCCUAAUACAUGCAAGUCGAGCGAACAGACGAGGAGCUUGCUCCUCUGACGUUAGCGGCGGACGGGUGAGUAACACGUGGAUAACCUACCUAUAAGACUGGGAUAACUUCGGGAAACCGGAGCUAAUACCGGAUAAUAUAUUGAACCGCAUGGUUCAAUAGUGAAAGACGGUUUUGCUGUCACUUAUAGAUGGAUCCGCGCCGCAUUAGCUAGUUGGUAAGGUAACGGCUUACCAAGGCAACGAUGCGUAGCCGACCUGAGAGGGUGAUCGUCCACACUGGAACUGAGACACGGUCCAGACUCCUACAGGAGGCAGCAGUAGGGAAUCUUCCGCAAUGGGCGAAAGCCUGACGGAGCAACGCCGCGUGAGUGAUGAAGGUCUUCGGAUCGUAAAACUCUGUUAUUAGGGAAGAACAAAUGUGUAAGUAACUAUGCACGUCUUGACGGUACCUAAUCAGAAAGCCACGGCUAACUACGUG
This 497-nucleotide ribosomal RNA is filed under the name uncultured bacterium. RNAcentral describes it as "partial 16S ribosomal RNA". It matches the Rfam family "Bacterial small subunit ribosomal RNA", at positions 28 to 507 of the family's 1533-position model. The record is from RNAcentral.